GGUUAAGUUAAUAAGGGCGCACGGUGGAUGCCUUGGCACUAGGAGCCGAAGAAGGACGGCACUAACACCGAUAUGCCUCGGGGAGCUGUAAGUGAGCUGUGAUCCGGGGAUUUCCGAAUGGGGAAACCCACUGUUCGUAAUGGAGCAGUAUCCAUGUGUGAAUACAUAACACAUGAGAAGGCAGACUCAGGGAACUGAAACAUCUAAGUACCUGAAGGAAGAGAAAGCAAAUGCGAUUCCCCAAGUAGCGGCGAGCGAAACGGGAUCAGCCCAAACCAGAAGGCUUGCCUUCUGGGGUUGUAGGACACUCUAUACGGAGUUACAAAGGAAUGGAUUAAGCGAAGCGACCUGGAACGGUCCGCAAGACAGGGUAAUAGCCCCGUAGCUGAAAGUUCAUUCCCUCCAGAGUGGAUCCUGAGUACGGCGGAACACGAGAAAUUCCGUCGGAAUCCGGGAGGACCAUCUCCCAAGGCUAAAUACUCCCUAGUGAGAUAGUGAACCAGKACCG
This 508-nucleotide ribosomal RNA is filed under the name Planococcus sp. CP5-4_YE. RNAcentral's name for it is "partial 23S ribosomal RNA". Lineage: Bacteria; Bacillati; Bacillota; Bacilli; Caryophanales; Caryophanaceae. The record is from RNAcentral.